CUCAACCGUAAGGAGGGGGAUGCCUAAGGCAGGGCUAGUGACUGGGGUGAAGUCGUAACAAGGUAGCCGUACCGGAAGGUGUGGCUGGAUCACCUCCUUAAAGGGAGACCUAAUUCAGGUAGGAGACGAAAAAAAAGUAGUCGCUACCAAGAAUCAAUCCCAAAAGGUCGGAGCGAGGCGAAAUUGGCUUUCAAACUAGGUUCUGGGUUCACACAAGACCUGAAUCAGGAACAAGGGCUAUUAGCUCAGGUGGUUAGAGCGCACCCCUGAUAAGGGUGAGGUCCCUGGUUCGAGUCCAGGAUGGCCCACCUGCACAGGUGGCAAAAACAAGAGAAGCGAGGAAUCAGCACCUUAUCUUAUCUAUAUAUAUAUAGGAGAGAAUGCUGGCUCUGAGUAAAGAGUCCAGAGGAACCUUGAAAACUGCAUAGAGCUAGGUGAAAAAGCCAAAAAAGAAGACCGCAAGGUCAAGCUAAUAAGGGCUAACGGUG
RNAcentral lists this unclassified non-coding RNA (488 nucleotides) under uncultured Microcystis sp. RNAcentral's name for it is "partial contains 16S ribosomal RNA, 16S-23S ribosomal RNA intergenic spacer, and 23S ribosomal RNA". The stretch from base 1 to 100 matches the Rfam family "Bacterial small subunit ribosomal RNA", at positions 1434 to 1533 of the family's 1533-position model. Lineage: Bacteria; Bacillati; Cyanobacteriota; Cyanophyceae; Chroococcales; Microcystaceae. The record is from RNAcentral.